RNAcentral lists this ribosomal RNA (1465 nucleotides) under Prochlorococcus marinus str. MIT 9313. RNAcentral describes it as "bacterial SSU rRNA". It matches the Rfam family "Bacterial small subunit ribosomal RNA". The record is from RNAcentral. Lineage: Bacteria; Bacillati; Cyanobacteriota; Cyanophyceae; Synechococcales; Prochlorococcaceae.
GGCUCAGGAUGAACGCUGGCGGCGUGCUUAACACAUGCAAGUCGAACGAACCUUCGGGUUAGUGGCGGACGGGUGAGUAACGCGUGGGAAUCUGCCCUCAGGAGGGGGAUAACGGUUGGAAACGGCCGCUAAUACCCCAUAUGCCGAGAGGUGAAAUGAAUUUCGCCUGAGGAUGAGCCCGCGUCUGAUUAGCUAGUUGGUGAGGUAAUGGCUCACCAAGGCAUCGAUCAGUAGCUGGUCUGAGAGGAUGAUCAGCCACACUGGGACUGAGACACGGCCCAGACUCCUACGGGAGGCAGCAGUGGGGAAUUUUCCGCAAUGGGCGCAAGCCUGACGGAGCAACGCCGCGUGAGGGAUGAAGGCCUCUGGGCUGUAAACCUCUUUUCUCAAGGAAGAAGAUCUGACGGUACUUGAGGAAUAAGCCACGGCUAAUUCCGUGCCAGCAGCCGCGGUAAUACGGGAGUGGCAAGCGUUAUCCGGAAUUAUUGGGCGUAAAGCGUCCGCAGGCGGCUUUUCAAGUCUGCUGUUAAAGCGUGGAGCUUAACUCCAUCAAGGCAGUGGAAACUGAUUGGCUUGAGUGUGGUAGGGGCAGAGGGAAUUCCCGGUGUAGCGGUGAAAUGCGUAGAUAUCGGGAAGAACACCAGUGGCGAAGGCGCUCUGCUGGGCCAUAACUGACGCUCAUGGACGAAAGCCAGGGGAGCGAAAGGGAUUAGAUACCCCUGUAGUCCUGGCCGUAAACGAUGAACACUAGGUGUCGGGGGAAUCGACCCCCUCGGUGUCGUAGCCAACGCGUUAAGUGUUCCGCCUGGGGAGUACGCACGCAAGUGUGAAACUCAAAGGAAUUGACGGGGGCCCGCACAAGCGGUGGAGUAUGUGGUUUAAUUCGAUGCAACGCGAAGAACCUUACCAGGGUUUGACAUCCUGCGAACCUCUAAGAAAUUAGAGGGUGCCUUUGGGAACGCAGUGACAGGUGGUGCAUGGCUGUCGUCAGCUCGUGUCGUGAGAUGUUGGGUUAAGUCCCGCAACGAGCGCAACCCACGUUUUUAGUUGCCAGCAUUCAGUUGGGCACUCUAGAGAGACCGCCGGUGAUAAACCGGAGGAAGGUGUGGAUGACGUCAAGUCAUCAUGCCCCUUACAUCCUGGGCUACACACGUACUACAAUGCUACGGACAAAGGGCAGCGAACUCGCGAGGGCAAGCAAAUCCCAUAAACCGUGGCUCAGUUCAGAUCGUAGGCUGCAACUCGCCUACGUGAAGAAGGAAUCGCUAGUAAUCGCAGGUCAGCAUACUGCGGUGAAUACGUUCCCGGGCCUUGUACACACCGCCCGUCACACCAUGGAAGUUGGCCACGCCCGAAGUCGUUACUCCAACCCUUGUGGAGGAGGACGCCGAAGGUGGGGCUGAUGACUGGGGUGAAGUCGUAACAAGGUAGCCGUACCGGAAGGUGCGGCUGGAUCACCUCCUAA